AUCGUGAACUUCGAACCUAUUUGUGUGUCCUUGCAGCACAUUGGAUCUUCUGAACUAAUUAUUACAGUAUUACUAGACUGUAUCAGUGGCGAGCACCUACGGUACCGGUAUUCCGGUUAAGUCGUACCGUUGCAUACGGUAACUCAGUCGAGUAAUUGUUCCAAGAACUGAACUGGGAUUGACUCAAAGUUCCCAUUUCAUCAAAAAAAAUUUUAGUCGAUUAUACAGAAUUUUUUCGUAUAUCUUGGCAAUUUGUGACAGUAGGGAGAUUGGCCUAUAAUUGUUUGGGUCAUGCUUGCACCCUUUCUUGUGAAGUGGCACUACUUUGGCUAUUUUCAAUAUAUCUGGAUACACACUUUCAUGAAAACUUUGAUUAAAAAGCUUUGAUAAAAGGAAGAUAAAACAUAUUUGGCAGUUUUGAAAAGUCUUACAGUGAGGUGAUGCUACGAAGAAAGAAAGACUCUUUGAUGCUUGGCCCAAGGUUAUACAUGUGACUAUUCAAAGCUGAACCUGUGUUAGAUGCAGCCUUAGGACCGACUUCCAAAAAAUGUUGGUUCAGUGUACAACAACUGGCAUAUCCAUCAGUAAUCCAUGCUUUCGAAAACAAAUAACUGGCUAACUAAUCCCAUACCCGCCCUGGACUGGUAACCGGACGAGAGGCCGUGGUUUGCCAUAUGAUUAAGCCGUCUUAUCGACUUUCCUCUCCCUCGGGAUAAAUAUGUAAAUCCUAUCCUCAUUUUUUCACCAUCCACUAUGAUAUGGAAGCUUGUUUUUCUUAGAGGAGUUGACAAUUAUUCCAAUAAUGUGAAUCCGUGUUUUUGGCAGCUAGAAAGAACCGUUUUAUAGUGUAGCGAAUGUGCAUUGUGUAACUAUGAAUUAUAAUGUAUUUACCCUUUCAUUUUAAUAGUGUGUUCCAUUUCCCACAAUAGGUCAUUUUAUUGUAGCAACACUGAUUACAUGUACUGCCUUUCUCGUUUAGAUCCACUUCUGUUUUACUGCGUUAAGUGUGAUGUGUUUUGAUUCACUCCUGAUUUACUGUGUUAAGAGUUAAGUGUGUCUCAAUUUUAUCUGUUUUCGGAAUUUGGAUUGUGCAUCUUCCUAUAAGAUACAACAACGAUUAGCAUCAACACUGUGUGCUUAUUAUCGUCUGAAGGAGUCCAGAUUGGAGUCACAUUCCAUAACGCGUGUCAAAACAAUAACGCGGGAAUCGAACUUAAACAUAUAGGGUGAUAGUCUUUAUCUCAUCAUCAGCAUCUCAUCUCUUUCUCCCUAUAAAAGUAUUCUUGUCAUACAGUCAGACGAGUCAGUCAGUUCUCUGGCAAUCUGGUGUCAUAAAAUCCAUACCUACCGUACCGGUAUACUUCGGUACCGUAACGCAAUUCACGCUAACACUCUGUGUGACUUAGCAUGGUAGUUUUUCUAACUCGUUUAUCCCUAAACUUCCUAUCCGUCUAAAUCCGAUUCUGGAUGCGUUCUGUCGCUCAGCAACUUAAUUGUUACUUAUCUCACGAAAGCGAGGUUCAAUCUACUCCAAAUUGCAUGUGCAUUCAUCUUAGCUCGGAUCAGAAACCUAUUGAUUUUGGAUAGAUUAUGUUGCAUAAUUAGCGAGUUAUCAAUUAAUUAGUGAUGGGACACACGGUGUCACUAUGGAGUAAGACCACUGUUUUGGGGGAACCCCCAACCUUCGAUCGAUAAGUCUUCGGUUUCCAACCGAAUUCUAGUUCAUUGACUGAUGUUGGUAUACCCGCAGGCAGAAAUUUUUUUUUUCUUUCCUUCAAAUCUUAUGUGUUGGAUGUCCAUGGAGUAUGAAUUCUGCUUCAGCAUUUGUACUUGGGAGUUUUUUUUUCUUUCAUUAAUUCUUCUGCAAAUAAAAAUUAUAGCUGGAUUUGAUGUUGCAAGUGACAAUAUAUAACAAUUUGAUAGCUGCCAUUGUACGGAAGUUCAACAAAUUGAUAUGUUGAACCAUUUUUUUUUUAACUACGGGUACCGGUCUAAUUGUAUUUCCCCGCCUUUUUUUACUCAUUCUAUAAUGAUAUGUUGCCUUUUUUAUUUUAUUUUUCAAUUUUUGACUCAUUUCAAAUGUUGGUGUCGCAGACCUAUGAUGACCCCGUCUGUUUCUUGCGAUGAAAGCCACCUGCUGUCAACUGCGAUUAAAUCCGUUGCUGUAUGGUAUAAUAAGCUGUGUGUUAAAUUUGUGUAUGAUUUCUUGCAUGGCGAAAUGAACGAAGAUAAAAAUUUUCGUACAGGAGGACAGCUCAGUAAUGUGGUGAACUAAUUUUAAAACUUAAUACUAAAGGAAUUUUCCCGAAUUAAUUUUUUUUUCUCUCCCUCAAAUGCUACCGUGUAUGAAGAUUUAUAUCGUUGCCUGCUUUCUUGGAUGACUAAGUUUCUCUUUGUAUCCAUUGCAUUCUUCUAUUGCAAAUUUUACUUUUUGACUCGUCUUAAAUCUAGGUGUCGCUGACUUAUGAUGACCAUUUCUGGUCCUUCGCGACUUCCUGUCAAUUGCAAUGAAAUUCGUUACUGUAAUGCAUAUAAUGUAAUUUGUUAUCUGUUGUGAAUUUUUGUUGCGAUUUUUUGCACGACGAAAUAAACAUAUUGUCUUGUUUAGCCUUUGCAAGACUCCUACAUAAUUUAUUCCUAUAUUUUUGUAUUCUCUUAUUUAUAACCAAUAAUUUUGGAUGGAUUUUAUCAAUGCUAAAUAUAAUUUCUGAAGUCAUAAAAUAUUAUAAAUUCUAGAGAGUUCUAGCAAAAGAAUUCGACCCAAAUAUUGCACGCAAGUGAAUAAUUCUCAUGUGAUAUGAUGAAUCACCCCUAUUUUACAUGGAUUUUGCUAGAGGUAUCGAGCAAAGACUGUUUGAAGUGUGAAACCUUAUAAAUAUGAUCUCAUCAAACAAAAGAAACAGCUAACGGCUAACCUUAAGAGAUAGAAGUGUAAUUUGUUUAUGCUGAUUUAAAUUGUUGUAAUAGAUUGUCGAAAGAAAUAAAAUUGUACAGUGGUGACGCCGAAUCUUGGGAUUUAUUACCAUGGAUCAUUGCCAACAAUCGUUCCUAGAUAUAAUGCUCCACCACGACAUCAAACGAGACAGUAUAUUUCACAAGAUAGAAGGCCGUCUGAAACGAGAGGUUUUGAUGGAGGCAAUAUGAGGAAUUCUAGGAAUACGUUCAGCUCGAAUAACUAUAACUGGAGCGGAAUUGUGAUGUGGUUACGAAUCCAACGAAAGAGGAGACAGAGAAAACUAAAGAGGAUCAGAACCAGACCAGAUAUGGCCGGACAGUACAUCCUCCAAUCCGGUACGGUCAGGCGGCAAUGUGCCAGAUCGAAGAAACCGAAGUGUAAAGGACGAUGAUGAAGUAAUCUCCCGGACCGAUAAUUAUGACAGAAAACUGGUCUACGUGAAACAUGGGGAAGUUGUUGGAACAGAACAUAUUGCAGACUUGGAACAAUGGAAAUUUCUGGGUAUCAUUGCCAGAACAACAAAAUAAAUCAAGAGACUCUGACUGGUAGUGGAGUCAAAAAACUUGGCCGGUCGAAGAUUGAAGAGAAAGCUUCUUGAUGAACAUUCAUCUACUUCGGAAAGGCGUACAAGCGAUUCUAGAGAUCAUGAAAGUCAAAGAUCACCAAUCCAUCGCCGUACCCUCUCUGAUGACCGAAACGGCAAUCGUUCAAGAGAAGGUCCCGGGCGUCCGUAUUUCACCCCACGGGUCACUCGUAGCCAAGCCGGAGCAAGAGGUGCUCCUGCAUAUGGGCGAGGCAAAUCGGGAAAUGCGCAACAACAAGCACGCGCAAGGAGUCCCAUUGAGCAGCCCACUACGGCUCAACCCAAAGCACCGAGUUAAAAAGGGGCCGAAAGUAGCCUAAAUAAAAGAAAGUGCGAAAAGUUUAAUGGCACGAAUCGCACCAAGAAUGGCACCAGCUGCCGCCAAAUUGGGCACAGCAAGCCAGACCGAAAAUGUGCAGAUUGUAUCUCUGUCGUCCAAUAGCGACAUCGGUUAAAUAAAAAUUAUGCUGGUCGUGCAACAAAAGACUCAUGACCUGAUGAAUGACAGGUUACGUAAUCGAGAAAUUAUAAUUGAGAAAUAUUGAAGUACUCUUUUCAUACCAGUUUUAUUGUUUCACCCGUGUAUCGUGUCUUACGAAAUCAUGAAAAUGUGGCAGUACCGACCUCUUUCCAUUUUCAAAGUCUAUAGUCUUUCUUUUCUGCUUCGCCUAUUUAUUGUACGUUAUAUUUCACUAUUUUUUCUCGUCUAUUUUUAGUGUAUAUGAUAUUCAUUCUUAUUAUUAUUGAAGUGCCUUUUUUUCCCAUUAUUUUAUUGUUUCUUGUUUUCGUCUAAUUAUCAUGCUUUAGAGUUAGUUGGGGGAGUUUGAUAAUUUUUUUUACAAAUCCUCAAAUAACAUCCACUGAAAGUAUUAAGAGUUUUGAAGACCUGAAUUUUUAACAGGAAUAACCACUGAUAACGCAAAUAGCAAUAAAGCUUUCCUCAUUAAAAGAACCGUUUUGAAAUUUUCUAUGAAUUUUUAGUUCGUACAUUGAAUAAAUUCAACUUACAAACAAAUUUUAAAGUCGUGUGAGUGAGAGGAAGGUAAUAUUAAUAUGUUACUCUUACUCAUCCACGCAUUUUGAAUCACACCAAAAUAAAUAUCUCUUGAAAUAAAUUAUACAAACAAAAUUAUAUGUGUUCCCCCCUGAUGUGUCUUUAUCAAUGUUCGAUUCCAAUGUUGCCUUGAUUUUAUUACAAUUAGUGCCUAAGUAACGUUUUAUUGUUUUUACUAUUGGUGUAUAUAUUAAUUGUGUAAAAAUCUAUCAAUUGCUGUUUUGUGACGUAAUAUUACUUAUAUUACUGAUUAUCUUACAUCCAACAGUUUUUUUGACUUUACAUCUUAUAUUGACAUUUCAAUUUUAUUGGGACCUUUGUGCUUUAUUGACAUAAUAAUUCCAUCAUCAUAUUGCAAGAGAAUUUAGGACUUAUGCAAUUAUCGGUUUUAAAAUUUUCGCAUGUGGGCAAGUGUAACAAAUUAACCAAUAAUUUUGGAUGGAUUAUAUCAAUGCUAAAUAUAAUUUCUGACGUCAUAAAAUAUUAUAAAUUCUAGAGAGUUCUAGCAAAAGAAUUCGACCCAAAUAUUGCACGCAAGUGAAUAAUUCUCAUGUGAUAUGAUGAAUCACCCCUAUUUUACAUGGAUUAUGCUAGAGGUAUCGAGCAAAGACUGUUUGAAGUGUGAAACCUUAUAAAUAUGAUCUCAUCAAACAAAAGAAACAGCUAACCUUAAGAGAUAGAAGUGUGAUUUGUUUAUGCUGAUUUAAAUUGUUGUAAUAGAUUGUCGAAAGAAAUAAAAUUGUACAGGUAAACCUUUCUGAUCCUUGGCUGUUAUAUCAAAUUAACAGAGAUCUCAAACUCAACUGAACAAGUAACCUUUACUAUAUUCUGUUUGGAGUCAGAAAACAAACUUACGCUUCAGUACUAAGUGAUUUCUUAGUAAAAGCUUUUUUUUGAAAAAUUAGAAUAAUUGGGAUAGCAAAAUCAGUUGUGGUUCUUUAAUAAAAUCUGUCAAAGGCCUAGGAACCUGUGUCUUGGUCCUGUUAAAGAGAGUGUUGGAUGAAACAGCUCGUCUUUUUUUGUAAUCAAAUUUUGUCUGAAAACAUGGCGGGUAGGGUGUCUGAGGUAUGGGCCUGCCAAUACAGCAAUAUCGUGUCGGUACUCGGUAGUCGUGUUAAUCAAUAUAAACGGAAAUAGUGACCUAGGAAAAUGGAGUGUAUAAUAAGAAUGUCUUUAUUUUUUGCCAUUCUUUCGUGUUUCUGCAAUGUAAUGUAUAUCUCCUGCCAAAUCAGAUGACCUGCCUGGAUCAUCACAGAUGGUCGUUUCCCCAGAAAUUAUACGGCAUUGCCAAAAGCCCCCGUCCAAGAGUACAACUCUUGCAAAGGUAGAUAGAAAAGAAUUUAAUUAAGAAGAAACAAUUAAGAAAAAAAGUAAAGCAAGGUAAAAAAGCGGGAAGACAGGAAUAAUCAUAUAAUUCGUCAACAGUGAUUUAACAGUAGCAUUGUUAGACAGCUCGGAAAUAAUGUUGUCUGCUGUUGAAAAGAUCCAGCACUCCCUAGAGACAGAGCAGUGACAUACAAAUUUAUGGGGACUGUGAAUGCAAAUGAGACAAAGCUGUGCUGCAAAUUUCCAGGAUAUAUAUGAAUUCUGGCUAUUCUAUGAUUGAUGAUAAUUUGGUUACAUAUUACCUAUGCCUUAUUUAAAAAACAGCUUUACUGAUUGUAGAAACUGUGUCUACUCAUGGGGUUUGGGAUUGAGUAAAAUUGUAUAACACAAUAAGCACUGGGUUCUAGUUUUUUGAUGGUGGCCCAUACCUGACACUGCCUGGCACAUGCCUCAAAUGAUAAAUUUUUUUUGUGUAAAUUACAUUUUUGUGGAAAAAUACUUUUUUUUUCCAAAACUAGUUCUGAAAACUCCAAAACAAUGCUGGGAAUAGUUAGCUGUUUUGUUAGACAUUCAGUGGGUAAAAGAGUGAAUAUUUAGUUCAAAGGGCCAAAGCGGUGUGGCCCCCCAAAGUUUGGUGGCCCAUACCUCUCCACUUUCCCCUACUAGUGAUUGUUUUAUAUUCUACUCUAUUGAAAUGAAAAUGGUCUAAUGAAGUAGCUGUUGUUUCAGUGACGCGUGUCGGUUUGUUAAUGCCACAAAGUAAACCACAAGAGUGGAUGCUAUGCACAUACCUGGUGACAUUAUUGUCCAUUUGAUAUUUCAUCAAAUCAACGUUAAAAUCUCCAAUAAUAUAUGUACAAUUUCCACUGGAAUUCACUAAAUUUGAAGCUUGUAUAAAUUUAUCUAUAAAAACAUUUAUAUGAUGGGUGCCUAUAAUUAUAUGACUGCAAUAAUAAGAUUUUCGGCAUUGCAGUUAAUUUCAGACUGAUUGAUUUCAAUCCAUAACUCCUCGCAUCCCACUAAAUUUAAGCUAACAUCAUCACGUAUGUGGUAUUUGAUACAUUCUAAAAUAUAUAAACCUACUCCUGCUUUAGUAAGCCGGAAUCUUUACGUAUAAAAUAAUAUCCCAUAAUGGGAACAUCUAGAGAGGCCUCUCCCAGUUUGGUUAUGUCAGCUCCCUAUUAUGUCAGGCAAUCUUUUACUGGGACCUAUUAAAUACUCAAUUUGUAGACUAUUUUUUGUAAGCUCCCUACAUUAAAAUGGAGUUCGGCAAUUUCUCAGCAACUUCAUUCGGAUUAAUAUAAUCGCCUCAAGUAACCAAAUCAUCUACAUCAUUUAAUUUUGAGGUGGGAUAGCAUUGGUAUCCUAUUGCAGCCAUUACUGGUAGACUGUUUACUAGGCAUAGAUUACAAUAAUAGGGUGAGCUAGAUAUUAUCAACAAAUGGAAGCUUUCUUGGGUUAGUUUAGAGCAGGUAAAAUGAAAAAAAAAAAAAAAAUAAAAAAAAAAAAUAAAAAAAUAAAACGUAGAUUGCAAGAAAUAUGAUUGACAUCAUCUGUGACUAGAGUAUGACAUUCUUUACACUUUUUAAAAAGUGACAUACACCAAUUCCAUAAAUUAGUAGAAAAUUUGGUAAAACUUAUAUCUUGCCUAAUUGAACUGCAGAAAGUGUAGAACAUAUUUUGAAGUUUUUAAAAUUGCAUGAGAAGGUACAAUUACGGCUCAAAAUAAUUGUUUUUUCUUCAGCUUGAUAAUUGAUGAUUUUCUGCCUAAUUUUCUUCAGUUUUGUAACAUAAGCUCUCCUGAUGGGAAUUUGCCUUGUGUUGUCACUUCGUGACAAUUUCUCGACUUUAUUUUAAUUAUUUGAUAUAUUUCAAUUAUUCUAUUUGCCUCAAAAAUUGAGACGUCACUUUGGGGGUAGGGCCCAAUAAUUUGGCAGUUGAUAGUUGCUUGUUGUUCUUUCGCAGCACUUCAAGAGUUCUCGUCACGGAGUGACAUAAGUAUGCCAUUUUUUGAAAAUAUUAUUUUUCUGUUCGCGUAGUACUAUAAUAUUGGGUUUAAACUGCAAAUUCUUCCGCACUGCACUCUACUUACUUUGGAUCUUACCCACAAUGAAAAUUGAAUGACAUGAUUGAUUGGCAAUGGCAACUUUUUUAAAACUAUCGACUCGAUGACCAAAAUAUUUGACCUAACAUGUGCCGGUUUUGAACAAUAUGAACGAACCUAUUGUAGACUGCCUUUGGAAAAAUAUGUAAUAUGGCAAAAUGCAUUGUUUUGCAAUAUAAUUAGACAUUUUUGUAAAAGGAGUAAGUGAAUUCAAAUAAUUCACAAACAAUAUUACAUCUGGAUUUUGGUUUAUAUCCAUUUAUCGGGUUGACUCAUAGGAUGGUAAAAAUAUUGUGAAAUGUAAAAGAAAUAUGUGUUUGUCAAAAAUUGAAGAUAGUUCCAAUUAGAAAACGCCAGUGCGUCACUCAUUGUCACCAAUAAUUAUUUUUCCGUGCCAACUAUAUCAUAAAACUGGAAAAAGCAAAAAUGAUACAAUAACGUGUUUUCGCAGGGACAUAUUUAUCACUGUCUUCUUGUUCUGAAUAUGCAGACUAAGAAUACUGUGUUUGGGGCCUACCGUUUCUAUGUGUGCUUUGCAAGCAGAAACAAGUACUACCUAACAAGAGAGACUUCAAUGCAAAAGAAAAUGCUUUUCUAUGGUUAAUAAAUUAGAUAUCCAAAUAACAAAAAUCGUUGCAUGAUGCAAAGAUUCUUAAACUGAAUUGCAUUAACGAAUCCUCCAGAUUCGGAAUUUUGAAUUGCCCAUUCUUUGUCAAAUCACUACAAUAAGAUACCAGAUAUAUAGGGUGGAAUAGUUAUGUCUGUUUCAUGUUGUCUGUGCAACAUAGCUUUUUUACUUAACUAUAUAGAUUAUUAAAGUUAGUGCACUCGUGUAGCAUAUUUAUAUGAGGGAGACACAAGCAGAAUGACAAAAAAAUAUAAUGUUUCCCAAUUUUUUGUUUAAAUGCUUUGUAAUUUCAAACAAAUAACCAAUUUUGAUCUAAUAUAACUGAUUGUUCAACAUUCUUAAUACCAUUUUAAUGAUAAGGAAUUUUUUCGUGCUACUAGUUGGCCGUAUAAUUGGGCUGCUUCCUAAAAAAAGUUUGUUGUACAAUAAAUUUUGCAUAAAUGUAGAGAUUAAUAUCUCUAGAAUACAGAGAGGGAGUGGUCACUUUUUUGUGGCUUUGGGGCCAGGCCACGGAGAAAUUGGGGCCGGGCCACAAACGAUUUUACAAAAAUUGAGGUCGCGGAAAAAAAAGUUUGGGAACCACCGCCGUA
This is an RNA transcript of Styela clava, 9241 nucleotides long. RefSeq lists it as uncharacterized. The record is from RefSeq and is a predicted model, not a curated record. NCBI's taxonomy places the organism in Eukaryota, Metazoa, Chordata, Ascidiacea, Stolidobranchia, Styelidae.